RNAcentral lists this ribosomal RNA (253 nucleotides) under uncultured bacterium. RNAcentral's name for it is "partial 16S ribosomal RNA". It matches the Rfam family "Bacterial small subunit ribosomal RNA", at positions 524 to 776 of the family's 1533-position model. The record is from RNAcentral.
UACAGAGGCCUCGAGCGUUAGGCGGAAUCACUGGGCUUAAAGCGUGUGUAGGCGGACUUCUAAGUACCUUGUGAAAUCCCACGGCUUACCCGUGGAACGGCUGGGUAUACUGGUUGUCUUGAGCCACUUAGGGGCUACCGGAACAAAUGGUGGAGCGGUGAAAUGCGUAGAUAUCAGGAGGAAUACCGAUGGCGAAGGCAGGUCUCUGGGCUGACACUGACGCUCAUGCACGAAAGCGUGGGGAGCAAACAGG